AAGCUCGUAGUUGAAUUUCGGGAUUAGUACGUCGGUCGUGCCUUAGGUACGUACUGGUGUUACUGGUUCCUACCUUCUGACGGACCAUCAUGUCAUUAACUUGGUGUGGUGGGGAAUCAGGACAGUUACUUUGAAAAAAUUAGAGUGUUUAAAGCAGGCUCGCGCUUGAAUACAUUAGCAUGGAAUAAUGAAAUAGGACGUUGAUCCUAUUUUGUUGGUUUCUAGGAUUGACGUAAUGAUUAAUAGGGAUAGUUGGG
RNAcentral lists this ribosomal RNA (257 nucleotides) under uncultured Glomus. RNAcentral's name for it is "partial 18S ribosomal RNA". It matches the Rfam family "Eukaryotic small subunit ribosomal RNA", at positions 624 to 886 of the family's 1831-position model. The record is from RNAcentral. Lineage: Eukaryota; Fungi; Glomeromycota; Glomeromycetes; Glomerales; Glomeraceae.